This 247-nucleotide signal recognition particle RNA is filed under the name Triticum aestivum (bread wheat). RNAcentral describes it as "SRP RNA Plant_SRP". It matches the Rfam family "Plant signal recognition particle RNA". RNAcentral also lists the same sequence under 1 other name. The record is from Rfam by way of RNAcentral. Lineage: Eukaryota; Viridiplantae; Streptophyta; Magnoliopsida; Poales; Poaceae.
GCCGAGUUCAGUAGCGCGAGCUUGUAACCCGAGUGGGGGCUUUAAGGUGGUGUGGAUGUUGCCGUAGCGCUGUGGGCCUGGUCCGGUCGUGCUAUUGCUGGCCCGCCCGUAAUGUGGCAGGCACAGCGUGAGGCUGGCUUCACAGAGCAGCGACAACUGCCCUCUUCCAACGGUGAAAGGAUAACGGGCUGCUGCACAACUGGGGCCAUUUGGGCCUCGCAGCCUACUCCAACAAACCACCAGCUUU